RNAcentral lists this ribosomal RNA (618 nucleotides) under uncultured archaeon. RNAcentral describes it as "bacterial SSU rRNA". It matches the Rfam family "Archaeal small subunit ribosomal RNA", at positions 259 to 879 of the family's 1478-position model. The record is from RNAcentral.
UAUNACCGGUACGGNCCGUGAGAGCGAAGCCNGGAGAUGGAUACUGAGACAAGGAUCCAGGCCCUACGGGGCGCAGCAGUUGCGAAAACUCCACAAUGCACGAAANNGUGAUGGGGCUACCCCGAGUGCCGUCCGCUGAGGAUGGCUUUUCUCUACUGUAAGGAGGCAGAGGAAUAAGGAGAGGGCAAGCCUGGUGUCAGCCGCCGCGGUAAUACCAGCUCUCCGAGUGGUAGGGAUGAUUAUUGGGCUUAAAGCGUCCGUAGCCGGCUUGACAAGUCUUCUGUUAAAUCCAGCAACCCAAUUGUUGGACUGCGGGAGAUACUGCCUAGCUAGAGAACGGGAGAAGCCGACGGUACUCUCAGGGUAGGAGUGAAAUCCUAUAAUCCUGGGAGGACCACCAGUGGCGUAGGCUGUCGGCUAGAACGUGUCUGACGGUGAGGGACGAAAGCUUGGGGAGCGAACCGGAUUAGAUACCCGGGUAGUCCAAGCUGUAAACGAUGCGGGCUAGGUGUUGGGGUGGCUACGUGCCACUUCAGUGCCGCAGGGAAGCCGUUAAGCCCGCCGCCUGGGGAGUACGGUCGCAAGGCUGAAACUUAAUAGGAAUUGGCGGGGGAGCAC